RNAcentral lists this long non-coding RNA (376 nucleotides) under Parus major (Great Tit). RNAcentral's name for it is "lncRNA (ENSPMJG00000001901.1)". Lineage: Eukaryota; Metazoa; Chordata; Aves; Passeriformes; Paridae. The record is from RNAcentral.
GCUAGUCUAUGCCUAUUGCAGCGUAACCACCUUCUUGAAAAUUUGCUUUGGCUGUUCAUAAUGGAAAUGGAAAAAUGGAAGAACAGUUGAAGUCACUUUUAGCAGGCACCAAUUAUCGCUGAUGGAGAGAGACCGGGACAACUGAGUGGUGACCAGAAUGCGAUUUUACUGUGGGUUUCAUAAGCUUAUAUACCACGCUAGGAAGAAAAAAAUACAGAACUGUCUGGCCAGGUUUAUUGGAUUUUCACCGCAGUAGUAAGAAGAUGUACUAAUUCUGUGGCUGACAUACUGAACUUCUACCCCCUUUUCAAACGAAUGUAAGUUUUAUAUCAAUGUGUCUUUUAAUAAUUAAUAAUUUUCGAUCUACAAGCUGAGU